UACGGCCGCAAGGUUAAAACUCAAAUGAAUUGACGGGGGCCCGCACAAGCGGUGGAGCAUGUGGUUUAAUUCGAUGCAACGCGAAGAACCUUACCUGGUCUUGACAUCCACAGAACUUAGCAGAGAUGCUUUGGUGCCUUCGGGAACUGUGAGACAGGUGCUGCAUGGCUGUCGUCAGCUCGUGUUGUGAAAUGUUGGGUUAAGUCCCGCAACGAGCGCAACCCUUAUCCUUUGUUGCCAGCGGUCCG
Molecule: ribosomal RNA, 248 nt
Filed under: Klebsiella pneumoniae
Lineage: Bacteria; Pseudomonadati; Pseudomonadota; Gammaproteobacteria; Enterobacterales; Enterobacteriaceae
Description: partial 16S ribosomal RNA
Rfam family: Bacterial small subunit ribosomal RNA
Source: RNAcentral